Molecule: ribosomal RNA, 253 nt
Filed under: uncultured bacterium
Lineage: Bacteria
Description: partial 16S ribosomal RNA
Rfam family: Bacterial small subunit ribosomal RNA
Source: RNAcentral
UACGUAGGGGGCAAGCGUUGUCCGGAAUCAUUGGGCGUAAAGAGCGUGUAGGCGGUUCGGUAAGUCCGCUGUAAAAGUCCAGGGCUCAACCCUGGAAAGCCGGUGGAAACUGUCGAACUAGAGUCCGGAAGAGGCGAGUGGAAUUCCUGGCGUAGCGGUGAAAUGCGCAGAUAUCAGGAGGAACACCAAUGGCGAAGGCAGCUCGCUGGGACGGUACUGACGCUGAGACGCGAAAGCGUGGGGAGCAAACAGG